Molecule: small nuclear RNA, 169 nt
Organism: Vulpes vulpes (red fox)
Lineage: Eukaryota; Metazoa; Chordata; Mammalia; Carnivora; Canidae
Gene: U1
Rfam family: U1 spliceosomal RNA
About the family: U1 is a small nuclear RNA (snRNA) component of the spliceosome (involved in pre-mRNA splicing). Its 5' end forms complementary base pairs with the 5' splice junction, thus defining the 5' donor site of an intron.
Source: Ensembl
AAAAUUACGAAAGAAUGUAACCUUUACUUGAUGACAAAGGUGGUUUUCCCAGGGCAAGAGUUAUCCAUUACACUCUGGAUGCGCUGAGCCCUGCACAUUCCUCCACAUGUGGGAAACUCAAAUGCAUGAUUUGUGGUAGACGAUGAGUGCAUUGACGUUCUCCCCUGAC